GAAGUAAUUAGCGAAUGCCAAGAAUUCUUAGUGAUUUCUCAAGGAGCCCUCCCUUGGCCUCUGUUUUGAUAUUAUCAUGUUGUUGCUGUGCUCCUAUAUUUUUAUCUCAGAGCAGGCAAAGUCUCUUAGGCAACGGUCCCUCUUGCGCCCGAUAUCCAUAUCGUUUCUCCAUCUGUGCCCCCGGGCGGCCGCCGCCUGGCUUAGGUUGCCCCCCCAGGGGGUCUUACCCGUCAUUGGCUAACCGGCCUUCUCACCUCCGGGUCACAGUUUGUUGGCAAGCUUUUUCCAGUGAUUAUUAACCCUUCCUAUGUCAGGGGCAGCUACAUUUCCCCGCCUUUUGUUUUUUAAAGCAAGGAAGGCAUCAUGUUGUGCUGAGGCCAGAAGGCCCAUCAUAACCAAUGCUUGCUCUUGUUGACUUUGUUUUUUCAGGGAGCACAGCAGAUGUAAAACAUAAACUAUUAACAUAGAUAAUAUCAAAAUCACACCAGCAUUAACAAAUAUGCGUAAAUUGAGGCCUGAGAACCAAUUGGAGGGCUCUAGCCAGUGUAACCCAUUUUCAAUGUCUUAAAGUAUUUUUUGAGAGAACACCUUAUGUACUUCUUGUAACUGCCUCUCUAACCGAGCUUGUAGCCCAGUGAUGUCAUUGGCCAGGGAGGUAUUAAAUGCCCCCUGUAAAUGUUUUUUUAUUUCUUGCCAAGAUGUCAGCGAGCUAUUAUACAGUAGGGGGGUAACGCAUUGCAUGGUAAAUUGCCAGUCACAUUUUAGUUUCAUAUGCAUAUAUAAUGCAUUUUGCUGCUCUCCCAGCCACUCUACUGCUGCCUCUAAUGCCUACAAUCCUGACAUUAGCCCUUUAUCAAUAUCCACCUGUGUCUGUAAUUCUUGAGUGAUAUUUACCAAGACGGACUCCACCUUAUGGGCUGUUUGAACACUGUUAACCAAGGCAGUAGUAGCUGUAGCAGCUGAUGCAAUGAUAAUCACCGCGGACACAAUGAACCCGAUUAGCGUAGCCAAAACUGCUUAGGGCAUAAUUUUC
RNAcentral lists this long non-coding RNA (1033 nucleotides) under Equus caballus (horse). Its description in RNAcentral is "lncRNA (ENSECAG00000055851.1)". The record is from RNAcentral. Lineage: Eukaryota; Metazoa; Chordata; Mammalia; Perissodactyla; Equidae.